GAAGGUUUAGCUCAAAUGGUAGAGCAUGUGCCUGACUUGCAUAAGGUCCUGGGUUCAAACCCCAGCACCUCCA
Molecule: transfer RNA, 73 nt
Filed under: Camelus bactrianus (Bactrian camel)
Lineage: Eukaryota; Metazoa; Chordata; Mammalia; Artiodactyla; Camelidae
Also listed under: 2 other names
Rfam family: tRNA
About the family: Transfer RNA (tRNA) molecules are approximately 80 nucleotides in length. Their secondary structure includes four short double-helical elements and three loops (D, anti-codon, and T loops). Further hydrogen bonds mediate the characteristic L-shaped molecular structure. tRNAs have two regions of fundamental functional importance: the anti-codon, which is responsible for specific mRNA codon recognition, and the 3' end, to which the tRNAs corresponding amino acid is attached (by aminoacyl-tRNA synthetases). tRNAs cope with the degeneracy of the genetic code in two manners: having more than one tRNA (with a specific anti-codon) for a particular amino acid; and 'wobble' base-pairing, i.e. permitting non-standard base-pairing at the 3rd anti-codon position.
Source: Rfam by way of RNAcentral